AGCAGCCGCGGUAAUUCCAGCUCCAAUAGCGUAUAUUAAAGUUGCUGCAGUUAAAAAGCUCGUAGUUGAAUUUCGGGACCAAUAUGUCGGUCGUGCCUCGGUACGUACUGGCAUCGUUGGUUUCUCCUUUCUGAAGAACCAUGAUGUCAUUUAUUUGGUGUCGUGGGGAAUCAGGACUGUUACUUUGAAAAAUUAGAGUGUUUAAAGCAGGCUCACGCUUGAAUACAUUAGCAUGGAAUAAUGAAAUAGGACGUUUGAUUCUAUUUUGUUGGUUUCUAGGAUCGACGUAAUGAUUAAUAGGGAUAGUUGGGGGCAUUAGUAUUCAAUUGUCAGAGGUGAAAUUCUUGGAUUUAUUGAAGACUAACUACUGCGAAAGCAUUUGCCAAGGAUGUUUUCAUUAAUCAAGAACGAAAGUUAGGGGAUCGAAGACGAUCAGAUACCGUCGUAGUC
This 450-nucleotide ribosomal RNA is filed under the name uncultured Glomeromycotina. RNAcentral describes it as "SSU rRNA". It matches the Rfam family "Eukaryotic small subunit ribosomal RNA", at positions 569 to 1025 of the family's 1831-position model. The record is from RNAcentral. Lineage: Eukaryota; Fungi; Glomeromycota.